Molecule: non-coding RNA, 29 nt
Filed under: Homo sapiens (human)
Lineage: Eukaryota; Metazoa; Chordata; Mammalia; Primates; Hominidae
Source: RNAcentral
UGGAAGGAGAAAUGGCCAGAUGUGCAUGG